UACGUAGGGGGCAAGCGUUGUCCGGAAUUAUUGGGCGUAAAGAGUGUGUAGGCGGUCCGGUAAGUCAGCUGUGAAAGUCAAGGGCUCAACCCUUGAAUGCCGGUUGAUACUGUCGGGCUAGAGUCCGGAAGAGGCGAGUGGAAUUCCCGGUGUAGCGGUGAAAUGCGCAGAUAUCGGGAGGAACACCAAUGGCGAAGGCAGCUCGCUGGGACGGUACUGACGCUGAGACGCGAAAGCGUGGGGAGCAAACAGG
This 253-nucleotide ribosomal RNA is filed under the name uncultured bacterium. RNAcentral's name for it is "partial 16S ribosomal RNA". It matches the Rfam family "Bacterial small subunit ribosomal RNA", at positions 524 to 776 of the family's 1533-position model. The record is from RNAcentral.